This 149-nucleotide ribosomal RNA is filed under the name Sodalis-like symbiont of Philaenus spumarius. Its description in RNAcentral is "partial 16S ribosomal RNA". It matches the Rfam family "Bacterial small subunit ribosomal RNA", at positions 1 to 141 of the family's 1533-position model. The record is from RNAcentral. Lineage: Bacteria; Pseudomonadati; Pseudomonadota; Gammaproteobacteria; Enterobacterales; Bruguierivoracaceae.
UUUAAUUGAAGAGUUUGAUCAUGGCUCAGAUUGAACGCUGGCGGCAGGCCUAACACAUGCAAGUCGAGCGGCAGCGGGAAGAAGCUUGCUUCUUUGCCGGCGAGCGGCGGACGGGUGAGUAAAGUCUGGGGAUCUGCCCGAUGGAAGGG